This 245-nucleotide ribosomal RNA is filed under the name uncultured bacterium. RNAcentral describes it as "partial 16S ribosomal RNA". It matches the Rfam family "Bacterial small subunit ribosomal RNA", at positions 88 to 334 of the family's 1533-position model. The record is from RNAcentral.
AUGGCGACCGGCGCACGGGUGAGUAACACGUAUCCAACCUGCCGAUAACUCCGGAACAGCCUUUCGAAAGAAAGAUUAAUACCGGAUAGUAUACGAAUAUCGCAUGAUAUUUUUAUUAAAGAAUUUCGGUUAUCGAUGGGGAUGCGUUCCAUUAGUUUGUUGGCGGGGUAACGGCCCACCAAGGCGACGAUGCGUAGCCGACCUGAGAGGGUGACCGGCCACACUGGGACUGAGACACGGCCCAG